ACACAGGAGUUAGUCUCCCACUGCACAUCUACCCACCGCUCUGACGUCGUCCAUAUCACCUCGUCCUUAAUUAAUGAAUGCUGCUAAUUGAUUCAGAACCAAUCAACAAAUCAUUUGCAUAACAACAAGAACAACAUGAUUGAUUACUCAUUGAAGGUCCUGUGUGUUAUCCUAAUGUCCCAUUUGGAGCUUUCCUUCCUCACAAAGAGUUCAGCCAGGCAUGCUAGCAAAGUGCCAAUUACCAGCCAGGCUUCAUGAGGAUAUGAAAAUGAAACGGGGUGAGAUAAGAAAAUAUUGUUAACCAGAAACAGAGAGCAGGUUCACAGUGGAAAUGUAGAGAAAUGCCGUUUGGAAUGGAGCUGGUUGAAGAUAAAAGACUUUUUAACAAGCUGAAGGGAUUAACUGGUUAUCAGAGCAGGAGUUGGAUUCCCUUUGGCUUUGGGAGAGAUGUGGCCAGAGGCUCUGGGACCCUCGCUGGGGAUUAGGAGUCAUGGGGUCUCCUGUUUACUUUACAUACAGGAUCGGUCAUGGUGCUAAGCUCACACCAAUGGGAUCUUAGAGCCAUAUUUCUCACUGACCGGGUCACAACUUUUCACCUUCUUCACAGUCAUAUUAUGUUUUUUUUUUUUUUUUUUUUUAAAGAGUCAUUGUAUUGUAUGUUUAGUUAGGCCCUUCAAAAAUGCACUCAUAGUUGUCAUAGUUCUAUUAUUUUCUAUAUUUUCAGUUGUUCUGAGUCUUUGGUGUUGAUUAAUAAAUUAUAGCUUGCAGGA
Molecule: long non-coding RNA, 770 nt
Organism: Megalobrama amblycephala (Wuchang bream)
Lineage: Eukaryota; Metazoa; Chordata; Actinopteri; Cypriniformes; Xenocyprididae
Exons: 2
Source: RefSeq, a predicted model, not a curated record